This is a long non-coding RNA of Anolis carolinensis (green anole), 574 nucleotides long. RefSeq lists it as uncharacterized. The record is from RefSeq and is a predicted model, not a curated record. The transcript has 2 exons. Lineage: Eukaryota; Metazoa; Chordata; Lepidosauria; Squamata; Anolidae.
UCUUAGGCAAGGAAAACUCUAAGAUGGUUUUCCCAGUGCCUUCCUCUAAAUUAUGAGUUCUUUGGUAGACUCCCGUUCAAGUACUAACCAGGUUUAAUUUCUAAGAGCAAUCAGGAUUUGGUGCCUACAGCUCAAAAAAAUCCUCCUGCCAGCAUGGAUGUUUGGUGACAGUAAAGAAAGAAGCAUAGCUAGAACAUGGAAUAUGGAGUGAGAGCCUCGCAUCAGCUGCUGGAGUCAAGGCAUCAUGGCCUUUACAGAACUACAAUACCCCAAAUCCCACCAACAGUUUGGAGAAUUUGGAACGAGAUCCCAACAUAGCAAUAUUUUCCAAAUUCAUAGAUCAGAAAUCCAUCAGCAUUCCACCUCCUGGCAAGAAAGAUUUUUCUCAUCACUUGAUGAGUAUGUUUUUAUUGUAUGUUAUAUGCCUUUGAUCUUAUAUGUUUAUAUGUUUUAAUGUAUUUUGUUGCUGUAUUUUAUGGUGUAUUCUGGGCUUGGUCCCCAUGUGAGCCGCCCUGAGUCCCUCCUGGGAGAUGGAGCGGGGUAUAAGAAUAAAGUUGUUGUUGUUGUUAUUUUA